ACAAAGAGCAGAUUAUAAGGGCUAUAGUUGCAGUAACACUGCAUAUGCAAUGGCAAGCUAGGAACUCAUUCCAUGGGAUGGUUUGGAAAUUGGAACUUGAGAAAGGCAGCAUGGGAAAAAAAAGAGAGCAUUCGAGGCCUCAAGAGCAUUAUUUAUGUAAUCUUAUAUGGAACAUCUUGUUGCACCGUUCAAGGUUUAGACGGGGUCCCUUUAGGAGGUAAAUAAUUGUCCCCCACGCAGAUGAUUUUACCAUUACGAAUGAGAGCGCAUCUACCACCACUGUACUGCUGCCUGAUGGUGCAGCAAUUCUGACAGUGUUCCGGGAAUAUUACAUCGCCGCAUUGGAGGAUAGAGUCGGCAAGGCAUUCCUUCGUGCAAGCUGCAUGAAACACGUUUAGCGAACCCCCAUGAAAUGGAGACUCGACUCAGAUGAAUAAAGAUCGCUGGAUUCAGCAUUUUGCUUCCUUACCUUGAGCUUCUGUUUUUCCCAGCAGCACCAGCAGAGCUGCGAGCAGUAAGCAGAGCGAAAAUAAGUGAGACCUCAUUGUGGGCGACGAGGAGUAAGAAGCGAUGCUUGAAUGCUUGCUUUCGUGGGGAUUUUAUAGUCAGCUGGAUUUUCUGCUGGAUAGAAAGUUCCUGGCCUGUGCUUCUCUAGUGAUGUGUUUGUAUCUUUGCGCUCCUGGUUUAGCAUGCCGUACACGGAAAGCGCAUCGACGAAAGGUGAGCGAUGAUUUUUUAUCCUGAUUAUCGUGUGCUUAUCCUGAUUUUCGUGUGCUCGGUGUUCUUGGUAGCCCAGUCAAGAAAGUACCAGAGUUGAAUAUGAGAUGAAGCUACAGAACGUCAAAGAAACACGUGGAAAGAACGCAUGAAAAUUCGAUGGUUAGGCUUUUGGAGGAGGCAUAAAAAGUCUCUCAAAACCUGCAACUUGAGGAGAUUUUACAAAUUUUCCUGUCAAGGACGUAGUAUCCUCGACCCCCAUAGCUGCAGCCUUUAGGAGCACUGUUUCCUGGAACGCUAUGCUUCACGGCUAUUCUGGCGACUCAUUGUUAUUAAGACAAGUUAUUCUUUUAAAACCAGGCCAGAACCUGUCCAACCCAAUGGAGCAUUUACAAGCAAGAUUGGAACAACUGCCAAGGGUCACUGUAGACCAGAAAUAAGGAUGCUGCGCGGGUACACAUGCCUUCAUCAAAGUCACGAGAAGGCAUCCUUUCAAGGUAUUCUCUUGGUAUUAAUCAUAGCCAAUUGUGAAAGGUGUUCUGCUAUCCAGCUUAGCGGCUCAAAAUGCUAUACAUGGUAUCCACAGGGAACAACCUCACUGAAGAAGCUAGAGCAGCAUUUCUGGAGGAAUUUAAAAGAGCAGUGUAUGCAACGUGGUUGGCUUGGAAUGGCAUCGUGUGGAGCAGCUCUUGGGCCUCUGGUAUCUUGCCGGCCCGGCCAAGGAUGUCGAUCAUACAGCAGUAGUGAUCAAUUGUCUCAGCGAUGGAGUGAUUGAAGCUCAUGGAGAAGAAGUGGUGGAUUGCCAGAGCGAGCAAGCCAAUGUGGUUACAGGCGAUCAAGGUGGCGAUGAGAGUGGUGGCAUCGGGCUCUACUCCUUCACACGCCAUCCUCUUGUAAAGAUCCAAGGUUUCUACGGCGUGGGCGUUCUUGGCAUAGCCAUGAAGCAUCGCGUUCCAGGAAACAGUGUUCCUCUCCGGCAUUGUCUCAAAGAUCUUGCGUGAUCGAUCAAGACGUUGCUGCUAUGGCCUUGAGAGGGAUCGCUCCUCAAUUUCCCCAUCUUGGGCAUGUGCUACAAGAACAAGUUCCAGGCCAGUGGUUUUUCUGAGGGAAAGGUUUCGAGAAGAUUUUGUGCUUCCUCCAAACCAGGCAAGAACCUAUGAGAAAAUGAUUAACAAUCCUACAUCGCAGGACUUUGAAGAAACAAAGCUCCCACCUCAGCAUCCGUCCGACCUCUAUAAGCUUGAGCAAGAUUGGAACGACUCGAAGGGGACCUCGCCGACCAGAAAUAAGGAUGCCGCGCAUGGUACACACACCUUCCCGUGAGCGUUCUUUCAAGGUAUUCACUUUCUGAACUAGUUGACAGGGGAAAAACGAAUGGCGCUGUUGUCAUGUAAAAUUGCUAAGCUAUCUUUGCGUCGUGCAGCGACAUGGUGGGAUCAAUGAGCAGGAAAUGACGGAGAAUGGUUUCGAACAAAGGAAAAGGUGAUUUUUCAUUCAUUCGUAUAAGCUUUUACUUUUGGUGGAGCAAGGUGGUGAACGAAACGGGUACUGCUGGAUGGUAUCAGCCAGGGAGAGGACGACACGGCUGUCCAUGGGCUACACCAGUGGGACGACCACGAAAUCAUAUGUGUGGUUCCUCACACUCAAAAGGAUUCGAGUAUGGAAUGUUGUGGCUGUUGUUGGAAGGAGCAACGUAAGGCUCGAGAAUGCGGGUCCUGUGAAAACCAGGUCAACAUAGAUCAUAGAAGAACGUCAGAGGUGCCAUCUCGUCAAAGCUUUGGAUGUCAAUUGUGGGAGGCGAGUCGGUGCUGCCCAAGGGGAUAAAGUUGCCACUCGCCACGGUGGUAGAGCCGUAUUGGAUGGGCGAUUCAUCCUUGAUACAGCAACUUCCAAUGCCAUCUUUCUCACUCCAGUGUUCUUGUGUUGCUUGUAACACUCUUAAACGCAGUAAAAUUGACGGGAGACAUUUUGGUUUAUAACCUUUAGUAUGAAUUUAGAAUAUACAGCUUUGUGGCUUGAUCUUUUAAGUCUGUUUUCCGUGCAGGUAGGUAAGACCUCGACUGAAGUUUCGACUUCCGAGUGCCAGUGUACGCAAUUUGUAAACCGCGUGACUUUUUCACCAUGGAAAAGGGGGUUUACAAAUUGCACUCCACCUGGAAAUGGAGUGUUGGCUUUUAAAAUCAUAACUUGCAACUUGUAAAAUGAAACGCACAAAAUGCUUGAACUUUGGCUAAAGCGUCUCCCCGACGUCUAGUUGCAGUAUUCUGACUCUUUGGGAAGGGCCCUGCGCAUCUCGUUUCUGCAUCUUUGUUUUUGAAUAAGAGCCCAGAACUACAAAGAGCAGAUUAUAAGGGCUGUAGUUGCAGCAACACUGCAUGCAAUGGCGAGCUAGGAACUCAUUCCAUGGGAUGGUUUGGAAAUUGGAACUUGAGAAAGGCAGCAUGGGAAAAAAAAGAGAGCAUUCGAGGCCUCAAGAGCAUUAUUUAUGUAAUCUUAUAUGGAACAUCUUGUUGCACCGUUCAAGGUCUAGACGGGGUCCCUUUAGGAGGUAAAUAAUUGUCCCCCACGCAGAUGAUUUUUCCAUUACGAAUGAGAGCGCAUCUACCACCAUUGUACUGCCGCCUGAUGGUGCAGCAAUUCUGACAGUGUUGCGGGAAUAUUACAUCGCCGCAUCGGAGGAUAGAGUCGGCAAGGCAUUCCCUCGUGCAAGCUGCAGGAGCGAACCCCCAUGAAAUGGAGACUCGACUCAAAUGAAUAAACAGCAUUUUGCUUCCUUACCUUGAGCUUCUGUUUUUCCCAGCAGCACCAGCAGAGCUGCGAGCAGUAAGCAGAGCGAAAAUAAAUGAGACCUCAUUGUGGACGAUCAGAAUGCUUGCUUUCGCCCGCUUUUGUGGGUAUUUUAUAGUCAGCUGGUCCUGGAGAAAAACGUGCCUGUACGAAAGGUGAGCGAUGACUGUCAGGUGUCUCCUAUUGUGGGCUCUACUUGACUUUCGUGUGCUCGGUAUUACAGGCGAUUGGCAGCCCAGUCAAGAAAGUACCAGAGUUCAAUAUGGGAUGCAACUACGAAACUACUGAAAAGAACGGGUGAAACUUCGAUUGUCAUAGGCUUGUGGAAGGUCUUCUCAAAACCCGACUGGAAAUUCGCACUACUUGGCCAUCUACCAGGAGAUUCGGGCGGCUCAAGCACAAGAGAGUGUAGAGAGAGAGUAGGAGGUAGAGAUGAUCCUUCUUCUUCUUAGUGGUCUUAUGCUUCAAAAGCAUAAGACUCCAAAAGCAUGUAUUGAAAGCACAUGCCUAAAGUGGGCAACUUUGAGGAGACUUUACAAACUUUCCUGUCAAGGACGUAAUAUUCUGGACCACCAUACAGCAUUUUCCCGCAUCUUGAUCAAUCACGCAAGAUCUUUGAGGAAAUGAACACUGCAUCCUGGAACGCUGGCUAUUCCCGUUGUUGAGAGAAGUUUUUUGUUCAAAUCAGACCAGAACCUAUUAUAACAAGAAACAGAACUACCACUCAGCAUCCGUCCAACCUCAAUGCAACAUUUAUAAGCAAAGAGAAAUAAGGAUACUGCGCAGGUACAUAUGGCUUCAUCAAAGUCAUGAGGUAUUCUCUUAAAACAGAAGUAAAACUUAUAGCUGAAGCAUGGUAUAUAAAGCCAAUAAUGUGAAAGGUAGCAUUUUGGGCAGCUAAGUUGGACAACAGAACAUACAUGGUAUCCACAGGGGAUGACCUCAGUGAAGAAGCUAGAGCAGCAUUUCUGGAGGAGUUUAAAAGAGCAGUGUAGGCAACAUGGUUGGCUGUGGAGCAGCUCUUGGGCCUCUGGGAUCUUGCCGGGGCGACCAAGGAUGGAGCGAGCAAGCCUGGCGAUGAGAAUUGGCAUCGGGCACACGCCAUCCUCUUGUAAAGAUCCAAGGCUUCUACAGCAUGAGCGUUUUUGGCAUAGCCAUGAAGCAUUGCGUUCCAGGAAACAGUGUUCCUCUCCGGCAUUGUCUCAAAGAUCUUGCGUUCGAGACGCCCAAACUGCAAACAUGCUGCUGCCAUGGCCUUGACAGGGAUCGCGCUCCUCAAUUUGGCCAACUUGGGCAUGUGCUGCAUGAACAAGUUCCAGGCCAGUGGUUUCUCUGAGGGCAAGGUUUUGAGAAGAUUUUGUGCUUCUUCCAAGCUAUCGUUUAUAUCAUCAAAGCCCAAGACAUUCCAUUUUAUCUUGGAAUCGAAUAUUUCGCGCGCUGCCAUAGCACGCAAGCAUGGCGUUCCAGGUGACCACGUUUCGAUCCCUGGCCCCGUCAAAUACUUCCUUCUUUUAAAUGCCCGCCGCGAGACGAGGAUCAUCCAGGAGACGACGCUCCACGCCGGCAUUGCGUGGAACAAUCGCAAGGUUUCGUCCACCAGGCCUCGCUCGGCGUGCGCCUUGCAUGGCGCUGUUCCACGCCACGACGUCCAGUUCCGGUAUUCGAUCGAAGAAGAGCUCGAAGGUACGCUUGGAGCAUUGCGUUCCAGGAGAAGAUAUCGCGGCAAGGCAUGGCGCAAACAGGGAGUUCGCUUCUUGGAGCUAGCUGUGCUCGGCGUAGGCCUCGACCGCCAUGUUCCAAGAAACCAGGCCCCGCGUUGGAGCGCUGUCGAAGAGGUUCUUGGCAGUGUGGAGAUUUCCCGAUCUGGCAUGGCGGCGAUCAUGAUAUUCCAGGCGAUCACAUCCUUCCCGGGCAUAAUCUCAAACAAGAACAUUUCCUUGUCGAUCUCCCAGCUCCUCGCGUGCGUGACGAGCAUCGCGGUCCAUGAAACCACAUCUCUCCUCGGCAUUCUCUUGAAGAAAUGUCUCACCAUGGCCAGAUUUCCCUCCGCGGCAUACCUCUGUGCCAAGAUGUUCCAGGACACUUGAUCCUUCUCCGGCAUCGCGUCAAACAGUAAGGUCGCUUGAUCCAGGUCUCCACUCUGGUCUCCACUUUGCGUGUAAGCUGUGUUCUAGGCCACAACAUUCCGCUGUGGCAUCCGAUCGCACAUCCGCCGGCCCGCCUCCAAAUGCCUGGAUCUCGCUAGCGGUUCUACGAUCACGGUCUCGGCAAUCACGGCCUUGUAUGGCAUCCCAAGCGACUCCGCUUCCACGCAGGCCGCGAUCAUCAACGUCCACGACACAAUAUAACUACUACAACAGUCUCCUUUUUGGUCUCCCGUCACCUGUCUAUUUUACUGCCAUGCCAAAUUUCUCGUUUUGGUUUCCAGGUUCUUUGUGCAGGCGAAGUUCCGACUUCCAAGUGCCAGUGAGUGCUUCCAGGUUUUGGCCUUUAAAAUCCAUUAGUCCUUUAAAAACCUUUGGGCAGGAACUCAACUUGCAUCUUGUAAAAUGGAACGCAGAAACCACACAAAAUGCAUGAACUUUGGCUAAAAACUGCGUCUCCCCGACUACUGAGAAAACCUUCUAAUUGUAGUAUUCUUAGAGGGCCGUGUGCAGCUGUUUCUGCAUCUUUUGUUUUUGCAUAAGAGCCCACAACAACAAAGAGCCUGAUUAUAAGGACUGCAUUUGCAGCAACCCCUCAUGCAAUGGCGAGCUCUAGAAACUCAUUCCAUGAGAUGGUUUGGAAAUUGGAACUUGAGAAAGGCAGCAUGAGCAUUUCCUCAUGAAACCUUAUUAAAACAGCACCAAAGGAACAGGGUUAAAAAUUGACCACUAAUUACUUGAAUAAUAAUGCUUAUUAUUAUUAAUUAUUAAAAUUUUAUAAUUAUAAACAUAUUUAUAAUUUAUAAACACUGAUAUAGGAAUACAAGAAUGAAUGGACCAAAUUAAGUCUUAAAUGGACGACUUAUAACACAAAAUUAAUUUUAUUUAAAAUAAACUAGGAUAUACUAGGAAGUGUUAAGGAAAAAUUAUAAUUUAUAAAUAGAAGAUAAAUCUAAAUGAAUACCAAUUUGUUAGAUGGUAAAAUAUUCUAAAAUAUUCAAGCAUAUUCUAGAUAUAAAUUUUAUAACUAAAAACCUUUUUAUACAACUAAUCAUAUAUAUUUGUAUAUAUCUGUUAUAGGUGAAGCAGUUACAACUACUUCUAAUGCUCCAAGGUGUGUCCCAUUUUACUACUUACACUCAAGUUAAACUUUUGACCUAUUAAGAAAAAAUAGAAACAAACUACAAGUAAAAAAGAUUUUUAUUCUGGCUUAGUUAAUGCAUUAGAAGAAGAAAGCCAACAAUCAAUUCCUGAACAAGUUAAAUUGCUAAUCAGAAAAUGGAGAUUCAAUAAGGAUUGAUACAUCUUUGGGUUAGAGAUCCUACAGGUAAAAGUUUUAUAUUACAACUAGUUGAUUUAAGAUUUUGUAUUCAAUACAUUCAUAAAAUGUUUGUAGUCACAUGACUAAUAAUAAAAACUUGGCAGUCAAAAAGAAAUUCAAUUUUUAACCCUGCAUGAUGGUUGGAUAGAAAAUCCAAUCCAUUGCAAAUGUAUGUUAAGGCACCUAGUCUGCCUGCUACAAAUUGAUUGCAUAAAGUACGUAGCAAAGACGAACCUCCUCAAAGUCCACUCGGCAGUGUGGAAACUUUGAGCAUUCUUUUUAUUUACGUAACCUUAUGGAACAUCUUGUUGCACCGUUCAAGGUCUAGACGGGGAUGUUCCCCAAGGAGGUAAAUAAUUGUCCCCCACGCAGAAGAUUUCUCCAUUACGAAUGAGAGCGCAUCUACCACCUCUGUACUGCUGCCUGAUGGUGCAGCAAUUCUCACAGUGUUCCGGGAAUAGUACAUCGCCGCAUCGGAGGAUAGAGUCGGAAAGGCAUUCCUUCGUGCAAGCUGCAGGAAACACGUUUAGCGAACCCCCAUGAAAUGGAGACUCGACUCAGAUGAAUAAAGAUCGCUGGAUUCAGCAUUUUGCUUCCUUACCUUGAGCUUCUGUUUUUCCCAGCAGCACCAGCAGAGCUGCGAGCAGUAAGCAGAGCGAAAAUAAGUGAGACCUCAUUGUGGACGGCGAGGAGUAACAAGCGUUGCUUGAAUGCUUGCUUUCGUGGGGAGUUUAUAGUCAGCUGGAUUUUCUGCUGGAUAGAAAGUCCCU
RNAcentral lists this long non-coding RNA (7739 nucleotides) under Selaginella moellendorffii. Its description in RNAcentral is "long non-coding RNA (SMOE_LNC000759)". The record is from RNAcentral. Lineage: Eukaryota; Viridiplantae; Streptophyta; Lycopodiopsida; Selaginellales; Selaginellaceae.